UACAGAGGGUGCAAGCGUUAAUCGGAUUUACUGGGCGUAAAGCGUGCGUAGACGGUUACAUAAGUCGGGUGUGAAAGCCCCGGGCUCAACCUGGGAAUUGCAUUCGAGACUGCGUAGCUAGGGUGCGGAAGAGGGAAGCGGAAUUUCCGGUGUAGCGGUGAAAUGCGUAGAUAUCGGAAGGAACACCAGUGGCGAAAGCGGCUUCCUGGUCCAGCACCGACGUUCAGGCACGAAAGCGUGGGGAGCAAACAGG
RNAcentral lists this ribosomal RNA (253 nucleotides) under uncultured bacterium. Its description in RNAcentral is "partial 16S ribosomal RNA". It matches the Rfam family "Bacterial small subunit ribosomal RNA", at positions 524 to 776 of the family's 1533-position model. The record is from RNAcentral.